GAAAUCUGGCUCUUUCAGGGUCCGAGUUGUAAUUUGUAGAGGAUGUUUCGGGUGUGGCUCCGGUCUAAGUUCCUUGGAACAGGACGUCAUAGAGGGUGAGAAUCCCGUAUGUGACUGGAAGCCUUCGUCCAUGUGAAACUCCUUCGACGAGUCGAGUUGUUUGGGAAUGCAGCUCAAAAUGGGUGGUAAAUUUCAUCUAAAGCUAAAUACUGGCCAGAGACCGAUAGCGCACAAGUAGAGUGAUCGAAAGAUGAAAAGCACUUUGGAAAGAGAGUUAAAAAGUACGUGAAAUUGUUGAAAGGGAAGCGCUUGCAACCAGACUUGCUCGCGGUUGCUCAGCCGGUGUUCUCACCGGUGCACUCUUCCGCGAUCAGGCCAGCAUCGGUUUGGGCGGCUGGAUAAAGGCUCUGGGAAUGUGGCUCCUCUCGGGGAGUGUUAUAGCCCAGGGUGCAAUGCAGCCUGUCCGGAUCGAGGACCGCGCUUCGGCUAGGAUGCUGGCGUAAUGGUUGUAAGCGACCCGUCUUGAAACACGGACCAAGGAGUCUAACAUCUAUGCGAGUGUUUGGGUGUCAAACCCAUGCGCGUAAUGAAAGUGAACGGAGGUGGGAACCCUUAAGGGUGCACCAUCGACCGAUCCUGAAGUCUUCGGAUGGAUUUGAGUAAGAGCAUAGCUGUUGGGACCCGAAAGAUGGUGAACUAUGCCUGAAUAGGGUGAAGCCAGAGGAAACUCUGGUGGAGGCUCGCAGCGGUUCUGACGUGCAAAUCGAUCGUCAA
Molecule: ribosomal RNA, 774 nt
Filed under: Sarea resinae
Lineage: Eukaryota; Fungi; Ascomycota; Sareomycetes; Sareales; Zythiaceae
Description: partial large subunit ribosomal RNA
Rfam family: Eukaryotic large subunit ribosomal RNA
Source: RNAcentral